This 363-nucleotide ribosomal RNA is filed under the name Triticum aestivum (bread wheat). RNAcentral's name for it is "partial small subunit ribosomal RNA". Lineage: Eukaryota; Viridiplantae; Streptophyta; Magnoliopsida; Poales; Poaceae. The record is from RNAcentral.
AUGCUUGGGUACAGUGGUGCUGGCCUGUCGUCUGCAGGGAUGCAAAGGAAGCAGCCCCGAUCAAUUCCUACGACCAACCUCCCCGAGGGCUGCAACCUGUUCGAUGAAAUGUCAAUCCCUACGCCAACGGCCGACGAGCCCAACUACAACGCGUUCAUGGAGAACGUCAUCUACGAGGGCCAUUGCCAUGCCUUCCACACCAAGGGCCACGACCAAAGCUACGAUCCCGACACAGCCCAAAGCCAAGACGACCGCAGCCAAGAUGGUGUCGACGAAGAAGAAGAGGCCGACGACCAUGGCAACUCAUGGCAUGAAGGUGAGGAUAUCUAUUGCGAAGAUGAGGAAGAAGAGGGCGUCAACUAG